GAAAUGCGAUAAGUAAUGUGAAUUGCAGAACUCAGUGAAUCAUCGAAUCUUUGAACGCACAUUGCGCCCCCUGGUAUUCCGGGGGGCAUGCCUGUUCGAGCGUCAUUUCACCACUCAAGCCUCGCUUGGUAUUGGGCAACGCGGUCCGCCGCGUGCCUCAAAUCGACCGGCUGGGUCUUCUGUCCCCUAAGCGUUGUGGAAACUAUUCGCUAAAGGGUGUUCGGGAGGCUACGCCGUAAAACAACCCCAUUUCUAAGGUUGACCUCGGAUCAGGUAGGGAUACCCGCUGAACUUAAGC
Molecule: unclassified non-coding RNA, 298 nt
Filed under: plant metagenome
Description: partial contains 5.8S ribosomal RNA, internal transcribed spacer 2, and large subunit ribosomal RNA
Rfam family: 5.8S ribosomal RNA (bases 1-105)
Source: RNAcentral